GUUCCUGUAGCGCAAUGAAUAGCGCGUUGGACUUCAAAUCCAAAGGUCGUGGGUUUGAAUCCCUUUUGGAAUA
This 73-nucleotide transfer RNA is filed under the name Trichonephila inaurata madagascariensis. It matches the Rfam family "tRNA". From Rfam's summary of the family: Transfer RNA (tRNA) molecules are approximately 80 nucleotides in length. Their secondary structure includes four short double-helical elements and three loops (D, anti-codon, and T loops). The record is from Rfam by way of RNAcentral. Lineage: Eukaryota; Metazoa; Arthropoda; Arachnida; Araneae; Nephilidae.